Molecule: long non-coding RNA, 1360 nt
Organism: Esox lucius (northern pike)
Lineage: Eukaryota; Metazoa; Chordata; Actinopteri; Esociformes; Esocidae
Source: Ensembl
GUUUGUAUGGUAAAAGUGUUGUAUGUUUAGAGCAGCAUUUGUGUGUACACUGUAGCCUAACAUGCUGAUUUUUAGAGAGACUUGAUGUUGUAUUUCAUAUUCCUUUGGUUUUGACCUGACCUUAAGUAUCCCUGAAAUGUAUAUUUUUCACUUGUUUUGUAUUGUUCCAUUCAGGCAUAAUGCCACUACUGUCAGCAUCCCAGAAGUAAUGCCACUACUGCUUUUGGCCAAAACGCCAGGCCAAAAUGAGGUCUCCUUAAAGAAAACUCCACUUUGCAGUCAGGUCACACCUUGAUUGACCAAAUGCAAUAAAAACUCCUUUAUUACCAUUGUUGGGCCAUAUUUGGUCAAUGGUUUCACUGAGACUUUGUCUUUUUCGGGACUUGGUUAGGCUGACGGGAAAAAGACUGUCUGAGAAGACCGGCUGUCCCUAGACAGAGCCUUUGUCUCUUUGACCUCCACCCUCAGUUUUCCUGGGAGUGCCAUAUGUAAUGUCAUAUGUCACUUAGUCUACCAUGAGACUUCUGCAAAACAGUGUCAGGCUGAUGUUGUCCUCCCCUGUGGGACAGAGCUGUAGUCACUUUGAUAAGGUUUCCUUUGCCUAGUGGUCCCUAGACCUACUCUAGGGCUUUGUCAUAGCACGUGUGUUAAAUGUGAUUUUUGCAUUGUAGAAAUAUUAAAAGGGGAGUUUUUACAUGUUGCCUUAUUGUCACUUAUUAUUGUCACUCUGGGGUAGGUGAUCCCCAAAGGUGUAGGAAAUUGCUACGGUCAACAAGGCUUUAUGAAAAGUGUUUAAGCACAUAAUAAAAAUCUAAACAUUUCCUCCAAACCAACUCUCAUCUCCAACUAAUCAACUAAUCAUUAUUUCUGAAUAAUGCCUCUGCAAAUAAAUAUUUCCAUUACACCAUGUUUGCAUGAUACAAAGAUGCAAAUAUGGUUUUAUGGAAUAGUGUUUUUUUUUCUGCAAAGAAUUCAGAGGGAUAUUAUCCAGAAUAAGAUUUGAAUGUACUUAGGGUUUGUUUGGAGCACUUUAGAGCAUUUUACAACAUGUUUAGACACGUUUUUACAUUUCAGUCAAUGGAAAGUGAUGACUCCAUGAUACAACCAUUUCUCUGUAACGAAACAAUUUAUGUAGAAAACUAUUUUGGGGAUCAACUUCAAGCCCACGAAGAGUGACAAGGCCUUGUAAAAAUGGGUGGAGAUCCCUUUUAUUUGUAACAGUACUAACACUGGCUGAUUAUGACGUUGACAAUGCUAACAGUGUGGAUAUUCAAGUUGUAAACACUGAAGUUUUAAUAAGGUACUUAUUAGUGUAUUUGUAGCAGGCUUUUCCCCUCAAUAAAAAACACUGACCCAUCCC